UCAUGUAAAUCAAAAGGGGAAAUUCAGCUCAGCUGCCAUAGUGAAGAAGCUUUUAUUGGGUUCCAAACUGUCAAACCAGAUGAAUCUUCUAGUGGAACUGAUGGUUGUGCUGGGGACCUGGGUGUUUGAUCAGGGCCCUCUAGCUGAGCCUGAUAGCUUUUGGCUCACUGACAUCCAUAGCUUCCCUUUCCUUCUCCCCUGUCUAGAAAGCAUUUAACAAAAGACUGUCCAACUCCUGGGGCUUUGGCUCAGUGAAGCUGGCCUCUGAGCUAGCAGCUGAGACAGAAGGAAGGGGCAGGCUCUGAGCUUAACUGGCUUGCAGUUUAAACUCCUCAACCAAGGGACUUCAUGGACAGUGAGUAGGUGCAGGGAUGAGAUUCCAGGGAUAAAAGAAUCAUUUUCACUUAUGCUAAUUCCUGGGAACAGUCUUCUACAGCUGGGCAUCCAACAAGCUCCAUUCACUGAGAGAACAAGGAAAUGGUAUUCCAGAAGAUUCUGUGUUGGAAAAAAUGCUCCAGGCAGAAUAUUUUUAUAUCAAUCUCCCUCAGGUGUUCCAGAUUUCAGAACUCUAAUUAGGAUGAGGCUACUGGGCCUUUUCCCUCAAGGAUCCCCAGGAACAAUCUGUACCUGUGAUAAUGUAUUCAAUGAAAUGUCAUCAAGCAAGCUGAAAUGA
This 673-nucleotide long non-coding RNA is filed under the name Monodelphis domestica (gray short-tailed opossum). RNAcentral describes it as "lncRNA (ENSMODG00000042670.1)". The record is from RNAcentral. Lineage: Eukaryota; Metazoa; Chordata; Mammalia; Didelphimorphia; Didelphidae.